AGAGUUUGAUCCUGGCUCAGAUUGAACGCUGGCGGCGUGCCUAACACAUGCAAGUCGAACGAGAAGUACGUAGCAAUACGUAUUGUAAAGUGGCGCACGGGUGAGUAACACGUGGGUAAUCUGCCCUUGAGUUUGGGAUAACCCCGCGAAAGCGGGGCUAAUACCCGAUAUGCUCACGACUACUGCGGUAGUUGUGAGAAAAGGUGGCCUCUGGCAUAAGCUAUCGCUUAAGGAUGAGCUCGCGGACCAUUAGCUAGUUGGUAGGGUAAUGGCCUACCAAGGCUAUGAUGGUUAGCUGGCCUGAGAGGGUGGCCAGCCACACUGGAACUGAGAUACGGUCCAGACUCCUACGGGAGGCAGCAGUGGGGAAUCUUGCGCAAUGGGGGAAACCCUGACGCAGCAACGCCGUGUGAGUGAUGAAGGCUUUCGGGUCGUAAAGCUCUGUCAGAUGGGAAGAAUUAGUCUGCUGAAAAUAUUGGCAGAUGAUGACGGUACCAUCGAAGGAAGCACCGGCUAACUCCGUGCCAGCAGCCGCGGUAAUACGGAGGGUGCAAGCGUUGUUCGGAAUUAUUGGGCGUAAAGCGCGUGUAGGCGGAUGAAUAAGUCAGGUGUGAAAUCCCUUGACUCAAUCAAGGAACUGCACUUGAAACUAUUUGUCUCGAGUACGAUAGGGGAGGGCGGAAUUCCCAGUGUAGAGGUGAAAUUCAUAGAUAUUGGGAGGAACACCAGUGGCGAAGGCGACCCUCUGGAUCGAUACUGACGCUGAGACGCGAAAGCGUGGGGAGCAAACAGGAUUAGAUACCCUGGUAGUC
This 812-nucleotide ribosomal RNA is filed under the name uncultured bacterium. RNAcentral describes it as "bacterial SSU rRNA". It matches the Rfam family "Bacterial small subunit ribosomal RNA", at positions 8 to 795 of the family's 1533-position model. The record is from RNAcentral.